GACGUAGGGCGCGAGCGUGUCCGGAUUUAUUGGGCGUAAAGAGCUCGUAGGCGGCUUGUCGCGUCGAAUGUGAAAACUCGGGGCUCAACUCCGAGCUUGCAUUCGAUACGGGCAGGCUAGAGUUCGGUAGGGGAGACUGGAAUUCCUGGUGUAGCGGUGAAAUGCGCAGAUAUCAGGAGGAACACCGGUGGCGAAGGCGGGUCUCUGGGCCGAUAUUGACGCUGAGGAGCGAAAGCGUGGGGAGCGAACAGG
This 252-nucleotide ribosomal RNA is filed under the name uncultured bacterium. Its description in RNAcentral is "partial 16S ribosomal RNA". It matches the Rfam family "Bacterial small subunit ribosomal RNA", at positions 524 to 776 of the family's 1533-position model. The record is from RNAcentral.